UCUGACGGAGCAACGCCGCGUGAGUGAUGAAGGUUUUCGGAUCGUAAAGCUCUGUUGUUAGGGAAGAACAAGUGCAAGAGUAACUGCUUGCACCUUGACGGUACCUAACCAGAAAGCCACGGCUAACUACGUGCCAGCAGCCGCGGUAAUACGUAGGUGGCAAGCGUUGUCCGGAAUUAUUGGGCGUAAAGGGCUCGCAGGCGGUUUCUUAAGUCUGAUGUGAAAGCCCCCGGCUCAACCGGGGAGGGUCAUUGGAAACUGGGAAACUUGAGUGCAGAAGAGGAGAGUGGAAUUCCACGUGUAGCGGUGAAAUGCGUAGAGAUGUGGAGGAACACCAGUGGCGAAGGCGACUCUCUGGUCUGUAACUGACGCUGAGGAGCGAAAGCGUGGGGAGCGAACAGGAUUAGAUACCCUGGUAGUCCACGCCGUAAACGAUGAGUGCUAAGUGUUAGGGGGUUUCCGCCCCUUAGUGCUGCAGCUAACGCAUUAAGCACUCCGCCUGGGGAGUACGGUCGCAAGACUGAAACUCAAAGGAAUUGACGGGGGCCCGCACAAGCGGUGGAGCAUGUGGUUUAAUUCGAAGCAACGCGAAGAACCUUACCAGGUCUUGACAUCCUCUGACAACCCUAGAGAU
This 634-nucleotide ribosomal RNA is filed under the name Bacillus sp. Se1Ps_2056. RNAcentral describes it as "bacterial SSU rRNA". It matches the Rfam family "Bacterial small subunit ribosomal RNA", at positions 382 to 1007 of the family's 1533-position model. Lineage: Bacteria; Bacillati; Bacillota; Bacilli; Caryophanales; Bacillaceae. The record is from RNAcentral.